This is a non-coding RNA of Pelobates cultripes (western spadefoot toad), 339 nucleotides long. NCBI's taxonomy places the organism in Eukaryota, Metazoa, Chordata, Amphibia, Anura, Pelobatidae. The record is from the annotation of a GenBank genome assembly.
CCAAGCCCCAACAUAUAUUCACAGUCCUAACAUGUAUCUAGAACCCCCCCAGCCCCAACAUGUAACCAGAGGUGCCAGCUUCAACACGUAUCCACAGCGCCAACAUGUAUCCAGAACCCCCCCAGACCCAACAUGUAUCCAGAGACCCCCAGUACCAACAUGUAUCCAGAGGCCCCCCAGACCCAAGAGGAAUCCAGAGACCCCAGUACUAACAUGUAUACAGAGGCCCCCCAGACCCAACUUGUAUCCAGAGAGCCCCAGUACCAACAUGUAUCCAGAGGCCCGCCAGACCCAACUUGUAUCCAGAGAGCCCCAGUACCAACAUGUAUCCAGAAACCC